This 31-nucleotide non-coding RNA is filed under the name Mus musculus (house mouse). The record is from RNAcentral. Lineage: Eukaryota; Metazoa; Chordata; Mammalia; Rodentia; Muridae.
UCAUUGCUUUUGAGCUUGUGGUAAGGCACAC